AGAGUUUGAUCCUGGCUCAGGAUGAACGCUAGCGGGAGGCCUAACACAUGCAAGCUGAGCGGUAGAGUCUCUUCGGAGACUUGAGAGCGGCGUACGGGUGCGGAACACGUGUGCAACCUGCCUUUAUCAGGGGGAUAGCCUUUCGAAAGGAAGAUUAAUACCCCAUAAUAUAUAGAGUGGCAUCACUUUAUAUUGAAAACUGAGGUGGAUAAAGAUGGGCACGCGCAAGAUUAGAUAGUUGGUGAGGUAACGGCUCACCAAGUCGAUGAUCUUUAGGGGGCCUGAGAGGGUGAUCCCCCACACUGGUACUGAGACACGGACCAGACUCCUACGGGAGGCAGCAGUGAGGAAUAUUGGACAAUGGGUUAGCGCCUGAUCCAGCCAUCCCGCGUGAAGGACGACGGCCCUAUGGGUUGUAAACUUCUUUUGUACAGGGAUAAACCUAUUUACGUGUAAAUAGCUGAAGGACUG
RNAcentral lists this ribosomal RNA (471 nucleotides) under Flavobacterium sp. iMTIII21. RNAcentral describes it as "bacterial SSU rRNA". It matches the Rfam family "Bacterial small subunit ribosomal RNA", at positions 8 to 480 of the family's 1533-position model. The record is from RNAcentral. Lineage: Bacteria; Pseudomonadati; Bacteroidota; Flavobacteriia; Flavobacteriales; Flavobacteriaceae.